AAUGAACGCUGGCGGCAUGCCUUACACAUGCAAGUCGAACGGCAGCAUGACCUAGCUUGCUAGGUUGAUGGCGAGUGGCGAACGGGUGAGUAAUGCAUCGGAACGUGCCUUUUAGUGGGGGAUAACGUAGCGAAAGUUACGCUAAUACCGCAUAUUCUCUGAGGAGGAAAGCAGGGGACCUUCGGGCCUUGCGCUAGAAGAGCGGCCGAUGUCGGAUUAGCUAGUUGGUGAGGUAAAGGCUCACCAAGGCAACGAUCCGUAGCGGGUCUGAGAGGAUGAUCCGCCACACUGGGACUGAGACAAGGCCCAGACUCCUACGGGAGGCAGCAGUGGGGAAUUUUGGACAAUGGGCGCAAGCCUGAUCCAGCCAUGCCGCGUGAGUGAAGAAGGCCUUCGGGUUGUAAAGCUCUUUCGGCUGGGAAGAAAUCGCACCCUCUAAUACAGGGUGUGGAUGACGGUACCAGCAUAAGAAGCACCGGCUAACUACGU
RNAcentral lists this ribosomal RNA (489 nucleotides) under uncultured bacterium. RNAcentral describes it as "partial 16S ribosomal RNA". It matches the Rfam family "Bacterial small subunit ribosomal RNA", at positions 29 to 506 of the family's 1533-position model. The record is from RNAcentral.